This 429-nucleotide ribosomal RNA is filed under the name uncultured bacterium. Its description in RNAcentral is "bacterial SSU rRNA". It matches the Rfam family "Bacterial small subunit ribosomal RNA", at positions 355 to 775 of the family's 1533-position model. The record is from RNAcentral.
UAGGGAAUUGUUCGCAAUGGGCGCAAGCCUGACGACGCAACGCCGCGUGGAGGAUGAAGACUUUCGGGUCGUAAACUCCUUUCGAUCGAGACGAAUGGCCUUCGAGCUAAUACCUCGGAGGAAUGACGGUACCGAGAGAAGAAGCCCCGGCUAACUCCGUGCCAGCAGCCGCGGUAAUACGGGGGGGGCAAGCGUUGUUCGGAAUUACUGGGCGUAAAGGGCUUGUAGGUGGCCAACUAAGUCAGACGUGAAAUCCCUCGGCUUAACCGGGGAACUGCGUCUGAUACUGGAUGGCUUGAGUUUGGGAGAGGGAUGCGGAAUUCCAGGUGUAGCGGUGAAAUGCGUAGAUAUCUGGAGGAACACCGGUGGCGAAGGCGGCAUCCUGGACCAACACUGACACUGAAAAGCGAAAGCCAGGGGAGCUAACGG